Molecule: long non-coding RNA, 646 nt
Organism: Motacilla alba alba
Lineage: Eukaryota; Metazoa; Chordata; Aves; Passeriformes; Motacillidae
Exons: 3
Source: RefSeq, a predicted model, not a curated record
CUCCCCUGCUGCCGCUCUCUGCAGCUGGCAGAGGACAGGAGCCGAGCGGCCGAGCACCUGCGCCGGGCCCUGCGCUACCUGCAGAGCCCACGGGAGCCCCUGCGAGAGGCGGCCAUCCGGUUCAUGGGGGUGGCCGGGAUGGUCAUGAGGGGGCAGCAAGAGCUCGAGGUCCUCAAUGAGGCCCUUCAAGGCCCGAGAAGAGAUGAGACCCCCUUCCCAAAUUAACAUAGUAGUUCAGCGGAAAAUCACUGAGAGAUAUGCAGAACUUCCUUUAUCUGGUGGCUCAGAAAAACCAUUGCUCCUAAAAGUUCUAAAAACACCAUGGAAAAGGAGACCACCUGGAGAGACCAGAAGAGACCAGCUGGAGCUCCAGGCACAGCUGAUGAUGGGCACAGCUGAGCCUGUGGGAAACUUGCAUGGCUUCAGAUAUGCUUAUAGAUAGCUCCUUCCCUCCAGCCCUCAGACUGUACCCAUCCCUUCUUUUUCCCUCCACUCUCCCUUCCUUUUCACAGCUCUUUCCCUUCAGCCCUCAGACCCUGCCCAUCCCCUUUUUUCCCUCCCAGAUCAUCCCUUUGCUUUGCCUUCCAUUAAUAAACAGUUUGGCUUCUUCACUUUGCCUGCAUCUCUGUGGAGCUGAAGCGGCGCA